CUUGAGCGCCUGUAAAAUACAGGUUUGAUAGAGCUGGCGUGUAAGUGCCAAGGUAACGAGGCAUUCAGCGUGCGGCUACUAAAAGCUCUACAGCCACCUAUG
RNAcentral lists this ribosomal RNA (102 nucleotides) under Candidatus Woesearchaeota archaeon. RNAcentral describes it as "Archaeal large subunit ribosomal RNA". It matches the Rfam family "Archaeal large subunit ribosomal RNA", at positions 2882 to 2987 of the family's 2987-position model. Lineage: Archaea; Nanobdellati; Candidatus Woesearchaeota. The record is from Rfam by way of RNAcentral.